AGCCUAGGGUUCCGGCGAGUACUUAGAUCGACGAUCUCUCCUAAAUCGCUUCAAAACCCUAAUCGCCCCCAACAUUCAUGUUACACGAGAUCAAGCUUCCAUCACAUUACUAUUUCUAUAUGGAAUCACAAACAACAAUGAAUCAGAUUAGCACUCUCACUAUCGGGUUGUGUUAGAGCCAUUGCAACAACCUAUGACGUCUUAUCAGGUUAGGUAUUUUAAUAAAUACUUUAUAGUGGCAAAGUGUGGUGUAAAGAACAAAAGCAAUGAUGUGGAGCGAUGCAUGUC
Molecule: long non-coding RNA, 288 nt
Filed under: Helianthus annuus (common sunflower)
Lineage: Eukaryota; Viridiplantae; Streptophyta; Magnoliopsida; Asterales; Asteraceae
Description: sRNA HanXRQr2_Chr05g0212071
Source: RNAcentral